GAUGAACGCUGACAGAAUGCUUAACACAUGCAAGUCAUUGGCGAAGCUGCGCUUGCGCAGUCUAGCCAAGGCGGACGGGUGAGUAACGCGUAAGGAACUUGCCCUGCAGACAGGGAUAACAGACGGAAACGACUGAUAACACCUGGUAUUGUCAGGCUGGCGCAUGCCGGCCUGAUGAAAGGAGACGCUGCAGGAGAGCCUUGCGUCCUAUUUGCUAGUUGGUGGGGUAACGGCCCACCAAGGCGAUGAUAGGUAGCCGGCCUGAGAGGGUGAACGGCCACAAGGGGACUGAGAUACGGCCCUUACUCCUACGGGAGGCAGCAGUGGGGAAUAUUGGACAAUGGGGGCAACCCUGAUCCAGCAAUUCUGUGUGCACGAAGAAGGUUUUCGGAUUGUAAAGUGCUUUCAGCAGGGAAGAAGAAAGUGACGGUACCUGCAGAAGAAGCGACGGCUAAAUACGUG
RNAcentral lists this ribosomal RNA (462 nucleotides) under uncultured bacterium. RNAcentral describes it as "partial 16S ribosomal RNA". It matches the Rfam family "Bacterial small subunit ribosomal RNA", at positions 28 to 507 of the family's 1533-position model. The record is from RNAcentral.